RNAcentral lists this ribosomal RNA (135 nucleotides) under Sauvagella madagascariensis (Madagascar round herring). Its description in RNAcentral is "partial 16S ribosomal RNA". Lineage: Eukaryota; Metazoa; Chordata; Actinopteri; Clupeiformes; Clupeidae. The record is from RNAcentral.
ACUAAACAGCUAGCUCAACCAUCAGAAUAUAACAAUAAGAUAUAAAUAAUUUUACAAAACCCCAAUAAAAAAACUAAACCAUUCGACCACCCCAGUACGGGCGACAGAAAAGGAAAAAAUGAAGCCAUAGACAAA